Long non-coding RNA from Carya illinoinensis, 6107 nucleotides. RefSeq lists it as uncharacterized. The transcript is spliced from 4 exons. Lineage: Eukaryota; Viridiplantae; Streptophyta; Magnoliopsida; Fagales; Juglandaceae. The record is from RefSeq and is a predicted model, not a curated record.
UCUUCUUCCUUUGUCUUUCGUUUCCUCCGCCGCAGCUCUUUUUCUUCUGCAUAAUACCUAUCCCCUCUAUUUCCCAGAUCUGCUCUUCAUAUUGGCUUUUCUUUCAAUUCGGCUCGAGAUUCGAUUAGAUCGUUUCUCUACCUGUGUUUCAAUGGUAAUUUUUUGCCGUUUCAUGCUAUAUUCCGGUUUUGAUCACUGUGCUCUUCGAUCACAGACUAUGAUUCGUUCUCGCUUCAGAUCGAUGGAGUUUGGAUGACCGCGACGGAUAUGGAGAUAUCUUUUGUAGAAAGAUCUUCGUCUCUCUGUUAUCUGUGUUGGUUAUUUUGGAUUCUUUGAAGACUUGAAUAAAGAGGGGUUUCUGUUGUAUUUUGCUCAGCAAAUCGAGAACGAAACUGGAUCUGUUGCGUCUAUAUCUCCGAUGAUCUAUUUUCGUUUGGAGCAGUGGAAGAGAAUCUUGAACGAUUAUACAUCGGCUGGGAAUAGUGAACGACCUUGGAUCUUUUGCGUCUUUAUUUCCGAUGAUAUAUUUUCGUUUGGAGAUUCGAAAGAGAAUCUCGAACGACUAAUCAUCGGCUAGGACGGAUUGCGUUGGAGGACCGGAUUCUGUUGAUCUAAACGAUGAUUAGACUGCCCUCCCGAAGAAGAAUCCACUUGGGAACUUUGUGAGGAUUAUAGUGGGGUUUGAUACUACGUGUGUCAUAUUUAUAUUCCUCGCCUAAUUAUUAUGAUAUUGUCUGUUAUUUCAUCGAUACUAUCUAUUAAGAGGCAAGGAUGGUGUGAGAUUUAUGAGCAUCAGGUAUGAUCUUGUAAGGUAUUGUGGCCAUGUAUCGACCUUUGCCAUGACAGGUGCGCUUGCUUGGCAGGUCAAAUUUACUUAAUAAAAAAAUUUUUCCUUUUUGUUUUGGGGGGAGACGGCCCUGGUGGUUUUUUCCUCGUUUUGGGCUGGUCUCCCUCCAUGGGCGUGCUCUCUCGCUCUGUGUGCGUCUCUGUCUCUGCAUCUCUCUCCCUCUCUCUCUCUCUCACACACACACACACCCCUUCUAUACGAAGCGUUGUUGGUUAGCUAAAUGCUUCGUUGGCAGUGGCUUCAUCGUUGACUCAAACACGCUAUAAAAGACGAGGCUGCCCUAUUCGGGUAUGCAUUGAUCGGAUUGCUGUUCCAGAUUUCCAUCCCAAAGGUACUUUAAUCUGUUAUACCAAAGUUAAUACCAGAGGUACUAUCUGCUAUUUAAUCUCGAUUGGUUCAAUCUAUUUCUUAGUCGUAUACAUGCUUCUACCUAAGUGAUACAUGAUGCAAGUACGCAUGAUAAUCGUAAGGAUUUGAAAAAUCUAUCAAUUCAGACUUUUAAGCGUAAAAGGGUGCAUUUUGUUUCCCAAAGGUUUGCCUUUUUUGAGGUGUAUUACAUUGCGUGAAAGGAUUUGAUGAUAGAAAAUACAUGGUGGAUAACCAGAAAAUGGAAUUGGCACCGGGGCUAACAAUUUUUAGUUUGCUGGUUUCGAUUGAGAGCUAUUGGACAUCCUUUCGGUGCAUAUUUUUAGUAAAAUUGAAUCAAAUACCAGCAGUUUUUUUCAAUCUAAGAUAUAUCUACGAGUUCUAACCAUUUCUACAAAACUGCUACAAAACUGGGUAUCCAAAUUUUCGCCAUGAAUAAUGCUAUUUAUUUUGCAGUGGAUUCUUUUUUGACAAGCUCAUCUGCAAGUCUUAAUUUGAAAUGUUAAUAGAGAGUUUUAUGCGGUUUAUUUGCCUUUAGAGUAUUUAUUUUGCAGUGGAUUCAUUGUUGGAAGUCACUUUAAGGUGGAUCUGUUUGUAAAUUGUGGGGUAUUGGUGUUGUGAAUCUGGAUAUUUCAUUCUGUAAGGUUAAUAUGAUAAUUAGCCUCCAUCUGUAGAGCAAUGCGCUCUUAGGGGCAUGAAAUCUUGUUAUGAUUCGUGGCACCAGAGUCACUGCUGUUCGUUCAUGUUUGGUUCUAGGAGCUUUGCUUUAUUUUUUGUGGCUUCAAGACAAGGCCAGAGAUAUGUUACAUGUGGAAUGCAGAAGAAUUCUUGCCGACCUUGUAUAGUUUACGACUGCAACCCAAGUGAAGCGUAAGGAGUUGCCAGGACGUGGGACUAUUUUGCUGGGUAUAUACUCGAGGUAAUAUAAGACUCAUGAUGAUUAAGUUCCUCGGAAUAUGAUUUAUAAUUAGAAUUAUAUUUUGCUACUAGAUUCCGUUGUUUUGAUAUAGCUAAUGUAUAUUUGAGUACACAGAUGCUUUUGAUUUGUCGGUUGUCCCAGCGGGAUUGAUCCCCUUAGUUUGGUCUGUACUUGCCAAAAGAAGUAACUAACGUAGUUUUGGUUUCCUCAGGUGGUACUUGUCUUGUGGUAAGAAGCCUGCUCAUAUUGAUCAUCGAAUACUAUUUGGGGCUGAAAUAGCCCGUUGGCUGGAAUUGUGUUUUUACUGCACAUCAAAUUCAGUCGAGUUUUGUAUACACAGGUGCAUUUUUGUGAGGGGUAGUGAUAGAGUUACCACUCUAUCACCACCCAUCUACCACUCAAAAGUGCAUUUCAAAUUUUUAUUUUUUAUUUUUUAUUAUUAAGUAUUUUUUUAACAUCUUUAGUCAUUAAGAAAAAAUUUAAAAAAAUAUAUAAUUUUAUUAAUACUCACAUCAUUAAUCAUUAAAUAAAAUUAAAAAUUAAAAAAAAUCAAAUACAAAAAGAUUAGUAGUUAAGUUGUAGUUGAGUAGUAAUAAUAAUAUUUUCCUUCUGUGAGACUGGUAUAAAGUAUAAACUACUGGCUCUCAUAAUAACUGUCAUGAACGUAUAAAAGUUGUGUUGCUGCUGUUGUCCCGAUAAUUCUCAGAAAGUGUCCUCUCGUAAAAACAUCUAUUUUUUUAUAGAAUUGUUUUCGGAAUAUUUAUACUUUAAUUGAUGAGUUGUCAUAUUUUUGAAGUUUUUAAUUAUAAGUAUAUUGUUUUAAUUUUUUGAAAAAAAUAUUUGAGGAUGUUUAAAAUAUAUUGAAAGAAACGGUCAGGAAAAAGAAAGCUUAAUUUGGUGUUAUAUUAUAUAGGAAAAAUAUAGUUACAAGCACAAUUGUGUACUAAUCUGUGUAUUAAUAUGAUGUGAUUGGUUAAAAAGUAAAUUUUAUUAAAAACAGUGUUAAUUUAAAUUUUAAGUAUGAAUAAAUCAGUAUUGGUAUACAGAUUAGUGCGCAAUUAUGUUUGUAUGUAGCAAAAUUUUAUUAUAUAACUCUUUUGGUGGACGGAAUAAAUUAAUGAAGCUUAAGUUGUGUUAAAACUAAGUAAGGUGAAGUCAAAUGGAUCCAUAAGCUCAAAAUGGUUAAGAGCGCUCAAACCUCGGUUUGGGAGGUUGGUGGUUCGAGCCCACCUGGGUCUCUUCUCGGGGAGAUUGAAAUGGUACUGUCACUAUUAUAAUAUUUUUAAACCAAUUGAAUUUAUCCACACAUUAUAAGAGGGCCAAAAAUGUUACCGGCACAGCUCACCUUAGGUGUUAUGUAACAGAGUUCAUCAGACAGUCCGACACAGAGAUAAAUGGACACUAAGAGAAAAUGGACACAUCACCAUCUCUUGAGACAUGCAUGUAAGGAAAUAUUAUUUAAUUAACUCAUAUGUUAUAAAAUUAAACAUAAAUUAUGAUAUUAAUUAAUUUAAUUUAUAAUUUAAAUUAUUAAUUAAUCUAAAUUAUAAUUUAAAUUUAUGCCUAUUAAUCAUAUUUUUAGUUAAAAUUAAUAAUAAUAUGAUGAAUUAAUUAAAAUAUAUUGAUACUAGAUAUAUCAAAUAUGUAAUAAUUCGGUUUGAUGACAGUCGAUCAUUGUAAUGAAAUAAGGAAAGAUUACUUGAAUCAAAUAUGUACAUUUUAUGCAAUGUGAUUCUGUGUCUCACGUUUAAAAAUAUGUUGAAGAUACUUGUGGAACUCUAAAAUUACCAUUCUUGAUUAUUAAAUGGGUCAGUUAGAGCACUGGCAUUGGUCUCGGUAAAAUAAAGAAAAUUUCAAAAUUUGAAUGGUUUGGAGGUUAAAACGCUGGCAUUGGAUUUGGCAAACGGUAAAAGUCAAGCUUUGAGCUACAGUAAAUUUAGUUUCACCUUCAUCUUUGAAGACUCACUGUUUACCGUCUAUCACAUUAUUUUAUUAUAAAAUCACUUCUUUCAACUGUUCCUUUCCUUUUCGCCUGUGAUUCCGUUUCUUUCUCGCCAUUUCUCUUCCUCUGCCUUUCUUCCUCUCCCAGACGUUUCUUUCGCCUGUGAAUCUGAAAAAAAAAAUUUCAUUUCUCUCUUUCAAUUUUUUCUCUCCAUUUUCUCUCUUAUUUUUCUCUUUCUCUAUCUCUCUCUCUUCCAUCUAGAGCCCGAUACUCCCUCUCUCCCUUUCUCUCCAUUUUUGAUUUAGUUUUUGCUAAACCCAACCUCAUAAACUCACCCUUCUCAAUCUAAAUCACGCUUGAGGAGCAUAAGGAAAUUUUAGUGAUGUCGUUCAAGUAAAUCGCUCUUGAGGGGUUGAGGAAAUCACUGCCCAAUUCAGGAAAUCACUACUUGAGACGAAAGGACUCGUAACUUUUUUACCCAUCAAUGUGGUUGCUAAGCAGCGGUAGCCUUUUACUUCAAUUUUUCCUUCUUUUGUGUGCGUGAGUGUGUGUUUUUUUUUUUUUUAAUUAUUAUUGUUGGUGACAUUCCUUUUCUUGUUACCAGGUUGGUUAAUAAUUCGUGCUUUUUUCUAUUAAGAUUCGCUUUGCUUUUAUCCAUUUCUUGAAACUUUUACAAUCCCCAAACAGCUUCCCUAACUUGGAUAUUGAACUCUAUAUUCAUGUGAUUAUUAUGCCAUGGGUGCAUGUACCCAUUUUUUCUUUCAGAAAAAAAUAUUUGAACAAUGCCAUUUUAUAAAUAUUUAGUGGUUAAGUGCAUAUUUAGAAGGAAAGCAUCUACUCAACAACUUGUAUAUCUGAAUUGCUUGAACAGUCAAUGCUUUGUCUAAUGAGCAGGCUCAGAAGAGAAUUUUUUCUGAUAAGAUAAAUUUUGCAGUCUGUGUAACUAAUUAUUUGUUGGAAUAGGGUAAUUAUGUGGUUCAAGUGUUUGGGAUUGUUGAUCGAUGCUUGUAGUAUUGAUUUUUGAAUUCACAAAUAUGCUUUCUAAAAGAUAGGAUUUAAAGACUAAGAAAGCAAUUCUUGAAAAAAGUGGAGGUUACAGUAUUGCAGAAGUAGCUGCAAAUAAGAGGGUUUUAAGGAUUUUUUGGUUGGUCAUUUGAUGGCUAAAGAGUGUGAAAACUAUAUGUGAAUUUGGGGUUUAAAUAGGUUAAAGAAACGGAUUUGUUUUGGGGGUAAGGAUAUAUCAUGCUUAACCAAGCUGUCUUUGUGGCAUCAACUACUGAGUUGAUGCUGACUGUCUUUUAACUUGCCAUAACUUUUUAAGAUUUCUCGUGAGUUGGCUAUAUUCCUGAAUUGAUUUCUUGUAUUAUCUAGUGUUAGAACUCUCUUGAUAUUUAGUUAUUAAGUUGAUUGAUUAUUUUGGUUCUUUCUUUUUCCCUGUUUAUCAUAUCUUCUUCUUGAGUCACUUUAUCAAGCCAAAAAAGUUCUCUUGUAUGAUUCCCCAGCGAUUAACAUGAGAUAUUAUAGAUUCUAUUCUCACAACCUUGAUAACAUUUUCAGUCAACAGUCCAAAGUCCCAGGUUUGAUCAUGCUUCUAUCCUCAGUUUGAUUACUAAAUUUGAUCAUUGGGAUUUCCACAUUUUCUCAUCUUUAUUUUGAGGGUUCAUAUUAUCUUUCUGCUUUGUUUGUUUGAGAUCUGUGGUUGAUAAAUGACAUUUACCAUAGCCAAUGAGCAGACUGCUGCAAUAAUUGAUGGUAAGUCAAUUGCAGGGUAGAUUAUGUCCAGAAUAGCUUAUGAGGUCUGGAGGAUGAAGGAGUCCAUUGGAAGCGUUCCUGGAUUGGCUGUCAUUAUGGUGGGACAGAGAAGGGACUCCCAAACUUAUGUACGCAACAAGAUAAAAGCUUGUCAUUAUGGGUUUUCAAUAUCUUUGUAUAGAAGAAUUGGUGGCCACUGAUAUUGCACUUAAGUGUGAUUUUUCCAAAUUGUAGAUGUAUAUAUUUGUUUCAUAAAUUGUAUAUAUAAUUGUUGGGUAGAA